AGGUCCCAGGCUGUUUCUUUUUCUUUUAAAUUGAGGAGGAGUAAUAUUUCAUAAAGCCUUCAUUUCACAGGAAAGGGUUAAAAUUCCCGGACUCCCCGGACGGCUGCAAUCUCAGCCCAGGACUCUUUCUCUAGUCUCCCACGCUGGGCAUCUUCCCCCCCCCUUCUCCUUCUCCUCUGCCGGCAAACUCCUAGGUGUCUGCUGGCUCUCUAUCUCUUUUCCUUCUAGCUUAGGGGAGGGGGAGCAAAGACAUCCCAGAUGUUCUCUACCCUUCCAUCCGCAGGAGCUGGCCCAGCUGGUUCCGAUCCUUCACCCCCUGGCCUACCUCUGCAGGCCGCAUGGCUCCCCUUCCCCACCCAACCCGGGCUGGGGGGGGGAGGUCUGUACCGUGCGAUGACCGGAACCAAAGAAGAGUGAGUCUUCCUGGGAAUUCCGCUUUUAACCCCUCUGUGUUCUCAGAGGCGUGUCCACCUUCAAUUGGUCACCUUAAGUGUCAGUAUCCAAACCUGACCCCUGACCGAAUUGACCUCUUCCUUCUAAAAAAAAAUUCUCUUCCCAUGUCAAACCAUGACACUACUAAACUUCAAAAUGCAAUUCUGAAAUCAAGCUAUUCUCUAACUGCUAAUACUCAGUCCUCACCAUCAAAAUGUCAUGUGUGAGCAGUCCAGCAGAAAGUUGUUUUUAUGGCUUUAGCCUUGGCCAACCUGCCAACAACCUACCAAUCGAGAUUUAAUGGAUGUCUACCUGCUAGAGUCGGUUCUGCUCAGCUGCUUCAUGUAAAGCACUUCCUCUCCACUCUGCCUCUGUGCUUCUCUGAUUAUCUUUGAUCUGAGAGAGUACAAAAGAGUUACUAGCACUGGUCAGCAUGUAAAUCACAUGCCUCACUGAGAAACUAAAUACAUUUGAUUUGGUUUAUCUAAGACAAAAGUGUGAUUCACAAAAUACUCAUGUCCUCAGGGCUGGGGCAAACACCGUCUGCAGACAAAGGUGUUGGGAUGGUGUCUGUGGCUUUGAGCUGACUGUAGGCUGCAGAACACUCCAAAGUAAGCACACAUCUAAACACCCAGGGUGUUAGCUCAGGAUGUUGGUUGUGCUGCCUAAACUUGCUUUGAAAUACUCCAUACACCAUAUCUACUACCCCAGCUAUCCUAAGGGGUCAGGUAGAUGAAUGACAAAACCCAGGAAUGUCAGUAACCUCACCAAACCCUCCACAAACAAAACCGGAAAGCCCACAUGGCUGACUAAUGGGAAUAGCUGUUUAAUUUGUGAUUCAAAAUAAUAACAGGCCACCCAGGGGAAACAACAACAACAAAAAAAAAGCCAAACCAAAACAACAAUGAACAAACCACAAAAACCAAAUAGCAGACUGCUACGCUAGGAUAACCUGAAUAGGAAUUGCAUCAAGUUCCUCUUUGGAAAGACAUUGACCCCCUCCUUUGUAUACAGUGUGUGGUCACGAUGACUGAAAAUUGAAUAAUGCAUAACUUUUUUUUUUUUUUUAAAAAUGAGCCUGUGAUACAAGAUCAAUAUAAUGAGUACUUAAACACAUUCUAGACAGAACUCAGACUGAAGACAUAAUGAAAAAAUACCACCCAGUAGAAGUAAUAAUACAUCCUGUCAGUACUUGUAACAGUCCAAAAGCAAUUUAUUGACUAGAACCGUGAAGAAAAUAUUUCUGUUCAGUGAGAUCUUAUGUCAUUUUGAAAUGCAUUUGUAUUGCAAAAUAGCACAAGAGUUGAUGUUUUUUGUGAACCUUAAAAAUACUUAAAAAUGCUUGCAAAACUUGUGAAAUACCAAAAGGCUGUGUUUUCAUAUAGAUUAAUCUUUUCUGUUUAAAAAAAGAAGAGGAUACUUAAAAUGAACAUUGACGCAAUAUAAGAGAAAAUAAAGAACAUUUUAGCUUAAAAAGAAUGUUACAGUACAAAAGUACCAACGGAAUUAAAUGAAAGAGAAUGGAAAUUAAAUGUUUUAACCAAUUGAGAGAAACAAUUCAGCGUUACUUAAAUUACAUGAACAAACUAUUUGCUUCCAAACCCUCUGAUUGAAAAAGGCAUCAAGUUACAUAUGUGCCCAGGAAGUUUCUGCUUUCUGAAACUGCACUAUUCCACUGGAAAACCCUUGUUUUGACAUAUUUCUUAUUUGCAUAUAUAAAAUAUGGAGUCUGUUACUGCAAAAAAAAGGGCUCCACUGCUGUGUUCUUGGGUAAGCAAACUGGGGAUGACUGCAAGAGCCUCUGGUUUUGCAACUCUUAUCUGAACAAUGGAAGCUGGUAAAUGGUGAAAAACACCUUUCAAAAACGGUUCCUUUUAGGUCAAAGUACAAAUAGCUGUCAUGAGAUUCUCAGAUCAUUCCUGGGAAAUUUCCCUGCUUAGUUGAAUUUUGAGAGCUAGAGCAUUUUUAAUGGGUGUCACUGAGGCGAGUUGAUGGGGAUUUAGUAGCACCAAUCUUUGUGUCACUAAAAGUCUGUAUCAGUAGGUGGCCAUCCCAAAUUCCAAAUAUCAUUAAGCACAACACAGCCUAUCAACAGGCUUUCCUACAGUCUUGUACUUCCUUUUCCAACUCAUCAACUCAGGUGAGGCUUUUUGCAAAUGUCCAGUGACAUUGCAUUGAUGAAUCCAGUAUCUCACUGAUAGUUUUAGAUUGCUUUAUCCUACAGAGCUUCUGUCCACUUUAACACACAAGCAAAUGUCCUCUCAUUUGCCAAAAUAAUUUAAUUGUCAGCUAGGGCAGAUAAGGAUCUCAUUCUAAGCUGAAUGAAAACUUGCCACUGAAGACACCAAGGGGAAUUUUAAAACAAACACCAUUCCAAGUCUCUUCUACCCAUCAAAAGAUCAUUAUUUAACUUAGAAAACUCUAUGUGAUUAAAAGGUCAAGCUUAUAAAAGAGUUAAUAUUCUAAUGCUAUCAGCAGAGAACCUGUUGAGUUAAUGUCCAUCUUAGGUCACCAAGUCAAGUGUUCUGCCCUAUUAAUAUUUAUAGCCAAGCAACUGAGUGAAGAGAUUUGGCACCUACACAGUGCAUUAUUGGGCAUACACCCUGCAUGCAGAAAAUGGCAAAUAGCAUGACUGUUAAUUUACAUGGCAAAAAAACCCCAAGAUGUAGAGGGGACUGGCUACCACACACUUGUCCAAGAUGACUCUGACUCCCAUGAUGCUGGGAACUUGACUCAGCAAUCCUGGUGGCUGCCACUUCUGAGACAUAAGCUCUUAGCCAACAUGUAGCUCUGACCUGAAUGACAAAAAGGAGCUUCCACAUCUCCAGGCAUGUUUGGUGGAGAAGGGAUAGGAGAGAGGGGAUACUACAGCUCAUGGUACUACCAUGGAAAGACUGCAGGAGAGCAAAGGACAGUCAUGGUAGCAGACAAACAUGAUUACUAACACUGAUCCUUGUUUUCAGACUUUUUUACAUUGUAUUUUUAGCCCCAAAAGCUGUGUUUUUUUAAAGAUGCUAAUAAUACCUGCAUUUUCAUUUCUUGUAGAGAUAAGAGUAGAAAUGGUUCAUUCUAUUAUCAAAGGGACUCCAAACCAAAACCUUCAAAACCUUCAAAAUCUAAGUUGCAGCUUUUGUGCUCAAUGGAUAAAUCAUUCUUCUACUUUCUGUCUUCCUCUCUUAUUGAGUUUGUUUCUAUAGGAUCCUUCAGGUUUAAAACUGGAUUAAUGACUAAAGAACCUUCCUAUUUUUUUACCCUCUGUGAGACUUUUCAAUGUGUUUGUUGACCUUAAUUAAUCUUGUGAGGAUUUGUAAUACAUCUAUCUUGGGAUAAUUAAGUUCCAUUGUUUGAGGUGCUCUGUCUUAGUAACACUCUCUAUAAUUACUUCUGGAAUCAUACAUCUCCUGUGAACCUGACUUUUGUUUCAAUUUUGUUGCCUGUUUGAAAGCCAUUCAAAAAGAUCUUUGUAAACUGAGAAAUGAGAUGUUGUUAAAUGUAUAUUUUAAUCUCUUCUUGAUCAAAAUCACACAUUUCUAAAAAGGUUCUGUAUCUCUUUUGAUUUGCAGAAGUGUGUUGUGAUCAGCUAUGAUCUGCUACAGUACUAGAAUAUUAGCCAAACCACAUUUCUUACAAUAUGUCUCUAAACAAAUUUAUCAGGAUCCAGUGCAAAUACACUACAUCAAAGUUGAAAACUCUGAACAAGACUGUAGAGGGGCCUCAGUCACACACAAAGCAUUACUCUAUUCCCUCAAGAAGUGUGUGGAGGCAUAAAGCAGGGUCUUUCUGCCCCAGCUGAUUUCUCCUCCAGUCCUUUUUAAUUCAGCAAACAUGUGGCCCUGCAGCCUUUGCCUGCAGCAGCUCCCUUCUCCGUUUGGGCUGACGGCCCAGGAUGGGGAAAUCAAAAUUACAGCUUGAUUCCCAUCUGCUGCAGAGACCCACCUUCUCUCCCAGAAGCUGUCAAGUCUGGUGUUGCAUCCUGAAAUCCUGUGCUCCAUGAAUGUCAGUGAGGGAUCUAUCACUUCUUUGAUCAGCUCCCAUAUAGAAUAAUACAAUGUCAUACAUCCACAUAUACCAAAAAGUCAGAUCAAAUUAGAAAUUAAAAGUGUUCAAGUCCCCCUUUUUAUUUCUUGGUCUAGAACUUCAUAGUCUGUUUUGAAGGUUUGAAGGUUGUUGGAAUGUGAGCUGGAACAAAACUGUGCCCACCAGGGAAUGAGCUGACCUGAUCCCUUUAUGGGGUACACAUACACACAGAUGUAUAAAUGAGCCUGCCCAUACUCCAGACCCAAACCUCAGAAGCACUGUAGCACAAAGCUCAGUCUAUAUUUGCAGUUAAGGGUUAUGGAAAAAAAAAAAAAAAAA
This 4788-nucleotide long non-coding RNA is filed under the name Taeniopygia guttata (zebra finch). Its description in RNAcentral is "lncRNA (ENSTGUG00000025874.1)". Lineage: Eukaryota; Metazoa; Chordata; Aves; Passeriformes; Estrildidae. The record is from RNAcentral.